GUUUGAUCCUGGCUCAGGAUGAACGCUAGCUACAGGCUUAACACAUGCAAGUCGCAGGGUAACGUGAGGGAAGCUUGCUUCCCUUGACGACGACUGGCGCACGGGUGAGUAACGCGUAUCCAACCUUCCCAUGACCACGGGAUAACCCGUUGAAAGACGGACUAAUACCGUAUGACGUCGUUUGCUGACAUCAAAUAACGAUUAAAGGUUUAGCGGUGAUGGAUGGGGAUGCGUCUGAUUAGCUUGUUGGCGGGGUAACGGCCCACCAAGGCUACGAUCAGUAGGGGUUCUGAGAGGAAGGUCCCCCACAUUGGAACUGAGACACGGUCCAAACUCCUACGGGAGGCAGCAGUGAGGAAUAUUGGUCAAUGGGCGAGAGCCUGAACCAGCCAAGUAGCGUGCAGGAUGACGGCCCUAUGGGUUGUAAACUGCUUUUAUGCGGGGAUAAAGUGCGCGACGUGUCGCGCAUUGCAGGUACCGCAUGAAUAAGGACCGGCUAAUUCCGUG
Molecule: ribosomal RNA, 507 nt
Filed under: uncultured Prevotella sp.
Lineage: Bacteria; Pseudomonadati; Bacteroidota; Bacteroidia; Bacteroidales; Prevotellaceae
Description: bacterial SSU rRNA
Rfam family: Bacterial small subunit ribosomal RNA
Source: RNAcentral